This 102-nucleotide ribosomal RNA is filed under the name Lepisosteus oculatus (spotted gar). Lineage: Eukaryota; Metazoa; Chordata; Actinopteri; Semionotiformes; Lepisosteidae. The record is from RNAcentral.
AGCAGCAGCCAUACCACUUACAACUGGCAACCCACUUAAGCUAAGUGAGCCUGCUCAGUACCUGGAUGGGAGACCUCCUGGGAAAAACUAAGGUUGCUGCUG